RNAcentral lists this ribosomal RNA (813 nucleotides) under Trichotrigona extranea. RNAcentral describes it as "eukaryotic LSU rRNA". It matches the Rfam family "Eukaryotic large subunit ribosomal RNA", at positions 402 to 939 of the family's 3401-position model. The record is from RNAcentral. Lineage: Eukaryota; Metazoa; Arthropoda; Insecta; Hymenoptera; Apidae.
AAACCGUUCAGGGGUAAACCUGAGAAACCCAAAAGAUCGAAUGGGGAGAUUCAUCGUCGACGGCGCUGGCUACCGUUGGUGCGCGAUGCUCCGGGUGGACCCUUGCGGUUCCAUUAGCGUGUGGCACACCACCUUCGGAUCGAACGUUCCGGCGUCGUAGUCGUGCACUUCUCCCCUAGUAGGACGUCGCGACCCGUUGUGUGUCGGUCUACGGCCCGAGUGGGCGCCUGUCGCGUCGUUUCGGCGCACGCGGCAGACCCUCGGUCGCCCGGCCGGCUGCACGACGGUACACUCACGGUAUCGGGCCGCAACCAGUCCAUUCUCGAAUGUGUGUGCGUCCAACCCGCCGCAAGCUCGGUCAGUUCUUACCCGGAGGUACGGACCCUGUGCCGUCCCCGGGCCUGGCCAGCUGUUAGCAGGCGGUGUCCUCGGACUGGCCAAAUCUCAGAUUACCGGUCGGCGACGCUAUUGCUUUGGGUACUCUCAGGACCCGUCUUGAAACACGGACCAAGGAGUCUAACAUGUGCGCGAGUCAUUGGGAUGCAGAAACCUAAAGGCGAAAUGAAAGUGAAAGUCGGCCUUCGCGCCGAUCGAGGGAGGAUGGGCCGCGUAACCAUGCGGCCUCGCACUCCCGGGGCGUCUCGUUCUCAUUGCGAGAAGAGGCGCACCUAGAGCGUACACGUUGGGACCCGAAAGAUGGUGAACUAUGCCUGGUCAGGACGAAGUCAGGGGAAACCCUGAUGGAGGUCCGUAGCGAUUCUGACGUGCAAAUCGAUCGUCGGAACUGGGUAUAGGGGCGAAAGACUAAUCGAA